UUCCACCAUGAUUGUGAGGCCUUCCCAGCCCUCUGGAACUAGAUAUUCUGCUGUAUAAAGAAUGCAAAGAAGAGGCCAAGUGUGAAGGCUCUUCCGUGGCCAAGGAGGGUAUUGCCAGCCAUGCUGAAUGCUGCUGUUGAGAGUUUGAGUAAGAUGAGAACAGAACUGUGCAGUGGAUUUGGCAACAUGGAGGUCAUUUGAUGACCUUGACAAGAACACUGGAGAGAAAGAAAACUUGGGCAGAGCCACCUCACAGAUGGGAUAGGAGAAAUUCAACACAGACGAGCCUUGAGACAUGAGAGCUAG
Long non-coding RNA from Cercocebus atys (sooty mangabey), 306 nucleotides. RefSeq lists it as uncharacterized. The record is from RefSeq and is a predicted model, not a curated record. NCBI's taxonomy places the organism in Eukaryota, Metazoa, Chordata, Mammalia, Primates, Cercopithecidae. The transcript is spliced from 4 exons.